AGAAAAUCUCUGAACUAAUCUCCCAACCCAUAUGUGUAUUAGUAUGAUGAUGUCAAACUCAAAUAGAAACAGAGGACACUAAGCCACACAUAAAUAUCCCUCUUAGUUUUGUAUUGACUUAGAAAAUCAUCUACUAACAUUAUCCAUGUUCUAUUAUAUUUUAACUUUUUGUCAAUUAUUUCCCAACUAUAUCUCAGUCUGCUGUGGGCCACACUGGAGAAUGUUGAAGAUCAAUCACAUGAUGCCUCUGUACUGAUAAGGAUCCCAAAGCCCUAGAAGAUGAAGAGAAAUUAAAAUGGAAACAAUAAGAUAACACAGGUAGUGAAUAAAGCACUGGAUUUUAAGAAAGUUCA
This 353-nucleotide long non-coding RNA is filed under the name Monodelphis domestica (gray short-tailed opossum). Its description in RNAcentral is "lncRNA (ENSMODG00000040219.1)". Lineage: Eukaryota; Metazoa; Chordata; Mammalia; Didelphimorphia; Didelphidae. The record is from RNAcentral.